CGCCGGAAGACCAAGGGUUCCUGUCCAACGUUAAUCGGGGCAGGGUGAGUCGACCCCUAAGGCGAGGCCGAAAGGCGUAGUCGAUGGGAAACAGGUUAAUAUUCCUGUACUUGGUGUUACUGCGAAGGGGGGACGGAGAAGGCUAUGUUGGCCGGGCGACGGUUGUCCCGGUUUAAGCGUGUAGGCUGGUUUUCCAGGCAAAUCCGGAAAAUCAAGGCUGAGGCGUGAUGACGAGGCACUACGGUGCUGAAGCAACAAAUGCCCUGCUUCCAGGAAAAGCCUCUAAGCAUCAGGUAACAUCAAAUCGUACCCCAAACCGACACAGGUGGUCAGGUAGAGAAUACCAAGGCGCUUGAGAGAACUCGGGUGAAGGAACUAGGCAAAAUGGUGCCGUAACUUCGGGAGAA
RNAcentral lists this ribosomal RNA (407 nucleotides) under Escherichia coli. Its description in RNAcentral is "partial 23S ribosomal RNA". It matches the Rfam family "Bacterial large subunit ribosomal RNA", at positions 1335 to 1744 of the family's 2925-position model. Lineage: Bacteria; Pseudomonadati; Pseudomonadota; Gammaproteobacteria; Enterobacterales; Enterobacteriaceae. The record is from RNAcentral.